CUUCCUUCACUUGCGUGCAGAGGUGUAUAUGUAAGCAGGAAGCGGAAUCGGCUUUUUUCAGCCCCGUUCUCGCUCACGGCAUCGUUUGGCCUGCCCCUGCUCUGUCCUUCGCUGAUAUUCCUGGGACCGUCUUCUGACCCGUGACACCAGCUUCCUUCAUCACAGCUUAUCUUGCUGUUUGGUGUUUACUCCUGCCUCCUCCUGAGUCCGGCCUGCUGCCUUGCUUACCUUGCCGUCUGGCGGGAUACUGGCAACUCCAUCCCUCCUCUCGCUGUACGAUUCUUGAUGCGAUCCUUCGUCGAUAUUGGGGUGUGGUUGGGGUGAGAAGGAGAUCCGGAGCUGAUUUUCAGCAUGUGGUGUCGAACCUGGUCUCCGGAUGGUCAAUGUGAUUCUGCGGUCCGGGGUCGAUGUAGAGCGUCAGACUGGCUCGAGUGCAAAGCACAUGCGAUGGAUGCUAGCAUUUACGCUUCCUUGUAAUUUUUUUAGCGUCAAGGUGGACGGUAAUGUGCCGAAGCCGUAACGGAAAAACACCUCCAAUCUAGAAAUUAUGGAAUAAGUCGUGCCUUCUCCACUUCUUGCAGUUCUCGGCUUUCCUCGCCAGGCCCAGGCAGCUUGGAGUGGUUCGUGAACCCCUGGCCGAGAAUCUCAAAUAAACACCAAGUAGUGUGUUCUUGCCGAACGCGUGGUUGCUGUCAGUCAUUUGGUGAACAUUUCUCUUUGCUUCACUCUGAAGUCUCAUGAAUUGCAGUUUAGUAGAAAGAGACAAGCAGCUUGUUCACUUUCCUCAGGCUUUUGACAACGGUGACCGAGUGUGCUUGCGGUUCUAACUUUCACUAGCGCCGGUAGCUGCUGAGCAUCAAAGGAUUAUCAGCUAGCCCAGCGCCGUCGAUACCUGCUUCAUUCUUUAUCGCUUCUCCUUUUCUGCCGUCACAACUGAACGAUUAUUGCGAGUAGAAUUUGACUACAGUUUUUCCUUCUAUGCAACUUGCCUUCCCAUGUUAUUUGGCUAAUUCUUGGGCUAUUUCUCUUGCGAUCUUGUCUGUAGUGCAGGUAUUAUUGCGACGAGUUCAGUAUUCUUGUGACGGUUUCCAUGUUACCUCAUGUGAUCUGCUUGGUCAUCUCAUCGUGGCUAGCUUCUCCACAAUUUCUCACCCUCGUUGGGAUCAGAAGAGAGAGAGCACAGCCCGAUGUCCAAUGUUCAGGUCGAAUGGGCUGUGCUCUCUCUCUUCUUGCUCCAACUUGGGUGCUACACGCAUCUAGGGUACCCGAAAUACUGCUGGUUCAAUUCAAGCCUUGGGCGGCGAGGCAAGGAACUCUAUUGUCACAAUAUGGUAUAACACUCCGGCUUAGAACAUCAAUUCAGCCGUACUACACCCAAGCCGGGAUUCGAAGAGAGAGAGCACAGCCCGUAACUUUCACUAAAGACCACUUAUUGUGGUUCAUUGGAGAUUUGAUGUCGGGCUGUGCUCUCUCUUUUCCAGUCCCUACUCGGAUGUGUCGCCAUCACGGAUGAUGAAAUAUGGCAACAGAUGACUAUUUUCUGAGUCAUAUUUCAACUUAGCAUUGAAGAUCGACGACCGGCUAGUUCCUCCUGAGACAAGUAACUUCGGGAGACUCUAUGUCGCAGCUGCCUCGCACAUCUAAAUAGUUGAAAAGACUUCGUCAGUCGUCCGCAUUAGCUGCGGUUUUAGUGACUGGAUAACGACAAUGAGCAUUCUGCCGUUUUGCGGAGCCCGUCUAACUAUGCCGUCCACGUACAACACUUUUGUUUUGCUCAAUACUCGUCUACCUUACACGACGAGACGCCGCCAGGUUUUUGAAGUAUAUUUUUGAUGCUGUGCAUUUCUUCUGUAGAAUGGCAACACAGGUGUUCAGAGAUCCUGAUUUCUCUGAUACACUUAAGUGCUACCCCAAGGGUCUUUUUGCGUGCAGAGACCGUGUUGUGCUCGUGAAAAGUAGAUUCAACGGUACUGGUAGAUGUCGCCCUCUCAACCAUACACACAUUAUGGACGUAGGUUUCCUUUCUAUGUGUUUGACUUCCAACCUACAGUGUAUUUCGCGAAGCGCUCUAACCUCCCUAGAGUAGGUACUUAUUCAUAGACAUCGAAACCAAGCUGAAUGUGCGAACUGUGCUGUGCAAUCGUUUGUGGUGGUGCUGACGCUCAAGCACACCAGUUGACGAACUUAAAAUGCUCUUGAUAGUAGUGCCUUUCUUGAGACCUAAUGUCUGUUGUAAUAAGCGUCUACAUGCAGUUUCUCAUUGUCCGACAUGUGCACCCUUAGAGUGACAAAUGUUGGGCUGAAAGGAUAAGUACUGUCUGUGGUGUGGAGCUUCACUGAUUAAGCUUGGCAAGUGCUUCUGUUGCCUCCAAUGAAGUUACUACUGGUGUGUCUGGCUCAAUAGGGUACAGCCUGUUGAGCCACUCUACUUUGCGUACAUGGCUUGAGUCUGUUCACAGACAAGUUUGUCUAGCACUUGAUACUUAAGAUGACUUAAUGUAAGGUAAGAACAAGAAGGUACGUCGAGAUCGAAAAUUGCAUUUGAUGCCAGUGUGAUGCAACUAUUAGUUUGAUGUGUUGAUUUUAUGUGACGAUACCAUAUGACAUCGAAAUAUUCAUGAUCAGUGGGUACAACUACUUGGCUGUGGUAAAACUUGCAGGAUGGAUCUUAUUUAGGCUAGAACCCUCCCAUGCAAUCCUGAGUGUUCACUGUACACAUUUGUGUUUGGAUUUUCCAUUGUACUGUAGUACAUCAGUUUUUAGGCUAAGGCUCGAUGCUGACCCCUUUAUCUUUUGUGGCACUCAUGCAGAAAAUGUUUGAACAGUCGUCAGACGACAGACUUGUUUUCUUCUCACAUAGCGCUUUGGAACUUAAGUCGUGUGGUGAAAGGUGUGCACAAGGAUACGUAGGUCAUUAACCACGUAAAUUUCUUCAGGCAGAAGCGUACGCUUACUUAGACUUAACGAGGUUUGUGUUUUCGUUUUAUCUCUAUGUUUCAUCAAGACUUCGAUGAUGCUAACAUCGAAUAUUAUUCUCGAUGGCAUGAACGUGUUACUCAAAUCGAGUCAUGCUUUAGUAUAGGAAUUGACUGUGUCCUCUUCAAAAUCGUUGUGAAUUUGGAGCCAGGACUCCCCAAGUAAUGAACAUGUUGCAGGCAGUGGCUUCUUGCCUGUAAUGUGGAGUGGAGGCCGCACAUCUCUUCAUCAGAAUGGGCUAGGAGCACCCUCAAUUUUACUGCAAUAUGGCUCAGGUUUCCAGCUGAGAAUACAAUGCAGCUUACAGUAUACAGCAGAAUUUGUGGUGUGGUACAGGAGUGUACACAGCGAGAAGUACUUAUGAAAAUGAAGGCUUCCCAGCAGAGUGAUACUUUUUUCUCCGCCAAAGCCAGACGAAUUCGUAAGUAACGGUACUAUUUAACGGUAUGUAUUUAACGGUACUAUUUAACGGUAUCUUCUUUAGCAAGCUCUUAAAAAAGUUCUAAAUUCUCAUGAAUAAUCUGGACUCUUCUAUUAUAAUCCUUGACCAUGUGAAGUCCAAGUUGAGGUUAGGACUGUCGGCGAUUGUCCUGAUCAUGCAUAAUUGCCAUGCAUGCGAAUCAUUGGUUGCUUCUACAGAUUUGUUGAAAAAGUUGAACUAUACUGAAGGUACCUUGAGUCCAAUAUCCACAUUAGACAAUGUCUAUAGCCCGUAAAUCUGUGAACAUGUGGCCUUUAUUUAGUAUGAUAUUCUGGAGGCCGUCGAAAUUGUUACUGCAACUUAGUUCUUUUCCUAGUAUGAUGUGCUUGGUUGUAAUUUAUCAGGAAUGCGAUUUCGCUAUUGGGUAGCGUCCGUGGCGAAAUAGUUCUGAAUGAGCAUGCAAAUUGAGCCUGUUCAAAGCAGUCAAGAUAAACGAAAGAUGCUGGGCAGAAGUAUAUUGUCCAACCAACUUAUCAGUUUCACUAGAAGACAGCUCAGUGUGAAUUGUGUUCUCGAAACGUAAGGUCUUGAGAAUUUGAUAAGAUAUAUAUUUCCCACACUGUCCAGCAUACAAUCAUAUUAUUAAAGAAUAGCUAGUAGUAGUAGCAGUACCACGACAUGAACUUGAAGAUGACUUUUUAAAGAGUUUUAUCCUUUUUGUGGCAGAUAAUAAUCUUUGUGACGUUUCUUGGUGGAGCUUGUCUCUUCUUAAAUUGAGGCAACUAUAAUAAUCUUGGACAAUAAGCCAUUGUCUUUCCGUAUUAUCCUGUUCCGGUUAUUGCAAUAUUGUCCAGCAUCACACCUUAUUCUCUUGGCGUGUCGAAGGUUAUUGGUUGACAUUCUCGUUGAUCGGGUUUGUAGGGCUUCCGUGUGAAGAAACCCUCUGACGUCCCUAGUGUCGUGUUUUAAUUCCCAUAUGCUACAUGCACUCAUCAUUUAACAAUUUUAAAUUUCGACUUUGAACUUGAUUCUUGCAGAUCACCAAGGUAUUUGAUUGGGUGUUUGCAACUGCUUGGACGAUUACCCCAGAUGUACGAGCUGUUAUAUUGAGUAUCCAGAACAAUGCAGUAUACAACUUUGGUAGGUUUGAGAUCGCACGGAGUGUAGUGAAUAUAAAGGUUAAUUUUGCUUUAUGAAUGAGUUCUCAGUAUAGAAAUAGCUGUACCGUGAUCGUAGCUCCGACGUUUGAGCCUUGUUUACCUCAUUAACGAGCGAAUGAUUUACUCAGGCAAUCCACUCGCCUCAAGAGACAGUGCAAUAGACGCACCGUUUUUUUUAUACAGACGAGAAUUAUCAUCUGGCUCUGCUCCUCAUUGCAUGGAAUUCUUGCAUGAGUGAUUGUGUGAUCCGCAGCGAACUUCUUUACCUCUGGAACCUAAGUUUGUCCAAGGUUCUGUACUCA
Physcomitrium patens is the source of this 4859-nucleotide non-coding RNA. Lineage: Eukaryota; Viridiplantae; Streptophyta; Bryopsida; Funariales; Funariaceae. The record is from RefSeq and is a predicted model, not a curated record.